GGCAAACCGAUUGCUGAGCUUUCGGGGUUUUCUUCAAAAGCAUCAGGAGGGAAAUUAAAAAUUAAAAAGAAGGCUUCAAGGAAUGUUUCUACUCCCAUCGACAGUGACAUUCGUUGAAUGAACAAGCUGCUCUCAUCUAACUCAGGUAACAACGUUUCUUUUUGCCCCUCAAAUGAAGCUUCGGAUACUGUAGGUUUGGGUAAGGAACUAGGUAUUGCAUUUGAUGGGGAAGAGGGCUCUGUUAUUAACCAUUUUGUGAAGCAAAUCAAAGGAGACAUGCACCUCUGCGAUUCUAAGAAGUAGUCCAGUUUGCCAUCUCCAAGGUGCAUUAUGGCUACUGUUUUGUCUUGGAACUGUCGAGGGCUUGGAGGAUGUUCCAAAAUCUCAUCUAAGGAAGCAUAUUAGGAAAUCAAAUCCUGAUUUAUUAGCUAUUCUGGAAACCAAGUUUGAAGUGAUGAAUUUUUCUGUAAUUAGGAGGCUGGGUGGUAUGGUUAAUUCGGACCGGACUUCUUCUAGUUCUGAUGGUAGGUCGGCUGGUAUUUUAGCUAUUUGGAACAAAGAUUCAGUUAUGGUUUCUGAGGUUCGGGUCUUCAAUAAUUGGAUUUUGUUAAAUGAGCAAUUUAGGAAAUGUGAGUUUCAAUCUCUGGUUGGUUUGAUCUAUGCUCCUUGUGAGGUUGGUCAGCAGGAAUCCUUUUGGCAGCAUGUAGCCCAGACGCCAGAGGCAACUAAUUCCCCAAUCCUUUUGAUGGGCGAUUUUAAUCAGGUCUUGAGUAGUAGAGAAAGAAGCAGUGGCAGUGCCUCACUUGUUGGUAAGGAAAAUUUUUGAAACUUUGUUAACAUUUUGAAUUUAUCUGACCUUCCGUUAAAGGGGAAAAUUUUUUACUUGGACAAAUUCUCAGUCGAAAAGCAGAAUUGACAGAGCACUUGUUUCUCCACAAUGGCUUGUCUCUUUUCCCAAUUUGUUCCUUAAGGGGUUUGCCAAGAGGUCCAUCUGACCACAACCCCCUGCUCCUUAGCUCUGAAGUCAUCGAUUGGGGUCCUAAGCCGGUUCGAUUUUUGGAUUCCUGGUGGUUAUGGCCUGGUUUUUCGGGUUUCCUAAAAGAUCUGUGGGAUGAAAUAUGUAGAAAUUCUCCAUCGUCCUCUUUGCCAGUUAAGCUUAAGCUUCCUCGUAUUAAGCUCAAGGAUUGGAAUAAGAAUGUCUUUGGGCAUAUUGACUCUAAAUUCAGUGAAACAAUGAAGCUUCUUGAUCAAUGGGAAAGCACAGCUGAAGUGAGAUCUUUAUCACCGCAAGAGCAGCAGUAUGUUCAAGAACUAUCCAAGGAAAAGCAAUUAUGGGCUUCUCGCACUGAGUGCUUCUGGAGACAAAAAUCCAGGAUGCUGUGGUGUAAGCUAGGGGAUAGGAACAUGAAAAUUUUCCACAUUCAGUGUUCCAACUGUUGGAGGAAAAACUCUAUAACUCAAAUUGUGGCGGAUGGGCAAUUACUUUCAGGAAAGGAAGAUGUUCGUGGUGUUAUUUUGACCAUUUCAGGGCAAGCUUCUGCCAAGAUUACGAGAUUUUUGGUCUUGCCUUAAGCCUAAAUUACCUGCGUCUAAGUAGUUCGGAGGCUCAAGCUUUGGAAGCUCCUUUUGCAAUUGACGAAAUUAAGGGAGCUGUUUGGAGUUGUAAUUCAAGGAAAGCACCAGGCUUGGAUGGAGCUAAUUUUAAUUUUUAUAAGCGAGCCUGGCUACUCAUUUAGGAUGAAUUGUUGAAUUUAAUGGAUAUUUUCUUCCGAAAUUCUUCUCUUCCCCAUGCUAUCCACUCAUCCUUUGUUGCAUUAAUUUCAAAAGUGGCAGGUGCUUCAAGAGUCCAACAUUUCAGACCCAUAAGUUUGUUACACGGUAUAUACAAAAAGUAGUGGCUAAGGUUCUCUCUUUGCGGCUUAAGUGUGUUAUGUCUUCUGUUAUUAGCCAGCAGCAAAGUGCUUUUAUCAGUGGCCUUCAAAUCUUGGAUUCCUUCCUCAUUGCGAGCGAAGCUAUUGACUAUUAUAGGAGGAAUAAACUGAGUUGCCAUGUGUUUAAAGUGGAUUUUGAAGACUUUCGAUUCUGUAAAAUGGAAGCAUAUAGACAAGACCUUGGAAUUCAUGGGAUUUGGGUGUAAAUGGCAUUCAUGGAUCUCCACCUGCAAUUAACAUUGCCGAAUCUCCAUCCGCAUUAAUGGUUGCCCUUCGGCCGGAUUCAAAAUGCGAAAUGGUCUUCGCCAAGGGAAUCCACUCUCCCCUUUUCUCUUCAAUGUAGCUGUGGAACCCCUAAGUCUUUUAAUCUCCAAGGCUUGUGAGUUAGGGAAACUUCAGGGUAUAUCGAUUGGUACUGGUGGAGCAACUGUCUUGCAUCUUCAGUUUGCUGAUGACACCAUAUUCCUUUCCCCUCCCCAGCUGGAGUUCGCUAGUAAUAUUACAAGGAUCUUGCGGUGUUUCUAUGCAAUUUCUGGGCUUAAUUUCCACAAAAGUCAAGUUUUUGGGAUAAACAUUGACAGUCAGACUGCUUCACAUACUGCACAUCUUUGUUGCUACCAGAUUAGAGUGCUACCUACUAAGUAUUUGGGGUUCUCGCUUGGUGCCAACAUGAAAAGGUCUGCGGCCUGGGCACUUGUUGUUCGGAAGGUGGAAAAUAGACUUUCUUUUUGGAAAGGUAAAGUUCUCUCUAUGUCUAGCUGGCUCACACUAAUUAAGUCUUGCCUCCAAUCUACAUUGUAUUAUCUAUCAGUUUCAAAAUGCCCAAGAUGGUUGCCCAAAAACGGUGGUGGUGGGGGGCGGGGAGUUGAUAGGAAGAAGCUUCAUUUGUUGAAAUAGGAAAUCUUGACAUUGCCGAAGUCCAAAGGGGGCCUAGGGAUUACUAAUUUGUUAUUGCAUAAUCAAUCCCUUCUAUUUAAAUGGCUUUGGAGACUUUAGAAUCAGUCUAAUUCAGCUUGGGGCACUCUGUUAUAGUCCAAAUAUCAUUUCCAGUUGGAGAAUGGUAUUCUUUUGGCUGCUAGUUCAUCUUUAUCUUCUCUCUGGAGGGACAUUCAGCUUUCGGGUUCUUCUCCAUCAUCAAGUUUCUUAAUUAUGGAGAACUUAAUGAUCCUUGUUGGGGAUGGAUUCUCCACUAAGUUCUGGCAUGAUAAUUGGGCCGUUGGUGGCGCUAUGAAAUUUCAAUUUGCGCGUUUGUUUUCUAUUUCUAACAGCCCAGAUGCCACAGUAAGUGAAAUGGGCUCUUGGGUUGGCAAUACGUGGACUUGGAAUUUUUCAUGGAGAAGGGAUCUUUUUUCUUGGGAAUUGGCCUCUGUACAUAAUUUGUUGGAUAUUAUUAAUUCAUCUCCAUUGUGCCCUAAGGAUCAUCUGAUAUGGAAGUUAACCCCGAAUGUUGCUUUCUCAGUUCACUCAUUGUACCUUGAACUGCUUGAUGCUUGUUCAUAAGGGCACACUAAUUUUCCUUUUGUCUGGCAAGGUCUUGCACCUCCUAAAAUCGAAAUUCUAGUUUGGUUAAUUUGUCAGGGUUGACUUACCACAAAAGAUUGGCUAUGUUAUUUAAAUAUCAUUCCCAUUAGUGAAGCCUUUUGCCCCCCUUUGUGGCAUUGUUGAGGAGUCUAUCGAUCACAUCUUUGUUGACUGUCAAUCCUUUUGGCGUAUUUGGUUGUGGUUUCUUAAUUGGUAGGGCAUCCAUCUUGUUUGCUGUCAAAUGUUAAGGAUCUUUUGGCACAAUGGAAGUCGCUUGUUUGUGGUUGUUUUCAACAAAAAUUUUGGGUCAUUUUGUUUUAUGCCAUUGUGCGGUCUAUUUGGAUUGCGCAGAAUCAAAAAAUCUUUAAGAAUAUUGAUCUGGCACAUGUCUCAUUGUGCUCAACAAUUUUGUUUAGAGUAUCAGUUUAGUUAAAGUCUAUUGAUCUGGACUUCCCCUAUUCAGGCUUAGACCUUCUUUCUUCUGCUGAUUCAAUCAAAUGCUGGUCUAAUCAAGUGUCUCAGCGUUCAGCUUUUUCUUGGGUUGCCCCUCAUACCAAUUCAAUUGAAUGGAAUGUUGAUGGAUCUUCCUUGGGUAAGCCGGGACGUAGUGCAAUGGGUGGAAUUCUUAGAGACUCUAAUGGUUCUUUACUGGGUAUGUUUUCAUUCUUCACAGGUGUCUUAGACUCGAAUAUUGCUGAACUUAAAGCAAUUCAUAAAGCAUUGGAGUUACUAGUUUCCAAUUCUCAAGUGUUAAUGGGUGUAAGUGAUGUUAUUAUCGAAUCAGAUUCUGGAAUUGCUCUUCUUGGGUCUCUCAUCCAGACAAAGCUCCUUGGAGAGUUAAUGGAAUGCUGAAUUUAAUUCUCAAUUGCUUGCUUGCUUUACCUCAUACGAUUUUCUCUGAUACUUUUAGAGAAGCGAACUCCACUGCAGAUUUGUUGGCUAAGCAAGGAUUAUCUUGAAGUGAGGACUUUGUGGCUUGGCUGUAGGUGAUUGCUUGGGUUUUUCUUAUUACUGUUUGUUUUGCCUUUCGCUUUUAGAUUUAGAUUUAGAUUCAGCUGCUGGUUGAGUUCUUGUCUUUGUGGGUGUGUCGUUGUACUGCUUCCUUAUAUUAGUUUUGAUUUUUUCAGGUUUGUUUGGGUUCGCU
This 4596-nucleotide unclassified non-coding RNA is filed under the name Hevea brasiliensis (rubber tree). Lineage: Eukaryota; Viridiplantae; Streptophyta; Magnoliopsida; Malpighiales; Euphorbiaceae. The record is from RNAcentral.